RNAcentral lists this ribosomal RNA (1827 nucleotides) under Thanasimus formicarius. RNAcentral describes it as "eukaryotic LSU rRNA". It matches the Rfam family "Eukaryotic large subunit ribosomal RNA", at positions 1089 to 2835 of the family's 3401-position model. The record is from RNAcentral. Lineage: Eukaryota; Metazoa; Arthropoda; Insecta; Coleoptera; Cleridae.
ACUCCUCGCGGGCGCAGCAUUGAGCUUCCGGCCAAAACAGACUUUAUAGGCGCCUCGAGCGCACGCUGACUCUCGCGACGGGCUUGCCAAAAGUUCUGCAAAGGAAGCGCGAGUUGCUAUCACUCGCUGCUUGAGUCGCGGCCUCGGAGCACGUCGUCGUCAGAGACCAAAAGUUUGUCUCCAUUCCGUUGUUGAAAGAGAGCUCUUCUAUGGGAUGCUGCUACAACGACUCAGGAAAGCUUGGAAGGCGGCGGAAAGUCAAUCUUCUUAGUGGGCCAUUUUUGGUAAGCAGAACUGGCGAUGAGGGAUGCUCCUAACGUAUGGCAAAGGUGCCCAAGGGUAGUAGAUCAGAUACCACGAAAGGUGUUGCUUCAUUGAAACAGCAGGGCGGUGGUCAUGGAAGUUGAAAACCGCUAAGGAGUGUGUAACAACUCACCUGCCGAAUGAACUAGCCCUGAAAAUGGAUGGCGCUCAAGCUACUCACCGUUACCAUACCGGCUAUUCGAUGUAUUGAUGGCUGCGUAGGAGGGCGUGAUUCUAACUUUGAAGAGCGUCAUGUGAAUACGCUUGGAGUUAUAUUCAGUGCAGAUCUUGGUGUUAGUAGCAACUAGUCAUGUGCAAUGCAUGACAACUGUCGUGGAUCAGGGUUCCGAGCCAACAGUAAAUGUUCUCGGGUUAGUCGGUCCUAAGAGGGAGGUCUUCACGGCUUCAAACUGGCAAAGUCGUCAAAUCUCGAAAGGGGAAAAGGUUAAUAUUCCAUCACUUGGUCAUAAAAAAGUGGUGACACGAUAGCAAACUACUAGUCAAGUAAUUCUCCGAGAAGCGUUACCUUUGCUUCUGAAUUUAUCGAAAUUCUUGAAAUGGGUUGGCCUGCGACAGAGUUACAGAUAAUGAUCAACAGCUUAUUUGGGUUGUUCGGCAGCAAUUAUUUGGUCCCUGAAAAGCGGUUUGGUAAUUGUUGUGAUCAAUCCGUACCCAAAACCGCAUCAGGUCUCCGAGGUCAGAAGCCUAAAGUUUGAUAGAAUAAAGUGAUUGAGGGAAGUCGGCAAAUUGGAUCUGUAACUUUGGGAAAAAGGUUGGCUCUGGGCAUCAUUCCGCAACAAGGUCUCCUUGGCGAUCUACGAAUCACGGAUUUUUUUGAUAAUCCCAGAACUGGUGUUGACUAGAGGAAUCUGACUGUUUAAUUAAAACAAAGCAUUGCGAAAAGCUCAAAAGCUAUUCNUUGUGAUGGAAUUCACAUAAGCGCGGGUAAACGGCGGGAGUAACUAUGACUCUCUUAAGGUAGCCAAAUGCCUCGUCGUCUAAUUAAUGACGCGCAUGAAUGGAUCAACGAGAUUCCUACUGUCCCCAAUUACCGUCUAGCGAAACCACAGCCAAGGGAACGGGCUUGGCAGCAUAAGCGGGGAAAGAAGACCCUGUUGAGCUUGACUCUAGUUUAAUUCUGUGAAGUGGCUCAUGAGGUGUAGAAUACGUGGGAGCACUUGUGCGCAGUUGAAAUACCACGACUCGUGAUGUUGCUCUGCUUCCCUGAUGAUUUGAGACUGCUUUGCAGCGCUUAUUAUAAGUUUGAUGAUCGAAUAAAACUGUGCGGGAACAAAAUUAGAUGGGGAGUUUGGCUGGGGCGGCACAUCUGCUAAACAACAACGCAGAUGCCCAAAGGUUGACUCAAAGAGAACAGAACUCUCUUGUAGACCGAAAGGGGAAAGGUCAGCUUGAUUUUAAUUCUCAGUGCAAGUAAUAACUGCGAAAGCACGGCCUAUCGAUCCUUUAAGCCCAAAAAGACUUUGGCUAGAGGUGACAGAAAAGUUACCACAGGGAUAACUGGCU